UACGGAGGGGGCUAGCGUUGUUCGGAAUUACUGGGCGUGAAGCGCACGUAGGCGGCUUCGCAAGUCAGAGGUGAAAGCCCGGGGCUCAACUCCGGAAUUGCCUUUAAGACUGCAUCGCUUGAACGUCGGAGAGGUAAGUGGAAUUCCGAGUGUAGAGGUGAAAUUCGUAGAUAUUCGGAAGAACACCAGUGGCGAAGGCGACUUACUGGACGAUUGUUGACGCUGAGGUGCGAAAGCGUGGGGAGCAAACAGG
Molecule: ribosomal RNA, 253 nt
Filed under: uncultured bacterium
Lineage: Bacteria
Description: partial 16S ribosomal RNA
Rfam family: Bacterial small subunit ribosomal RNA
Source: RNAcentral